This 271-nucleotide ribosomal RNA is filed under the name Xylosma spiculifera. The stretch from base 1 to 44 matches the Rfam family "Eukaryotic small subunit ribosomal RNA", at positions 1788 to 1831 of the family's 1831-position model. The record is from RNAcentral. Lineage: Eukaryota; Viridiplantae; Streptophyta; Magnoliopsida; Malpighiales; Salicaceae.
GUCGUAACAAGGUUUCCGUAGGUGAACCUGCGGAAGGAUCAUUGUUGAAAACUGCCUAGCAGAACGACCCGUGAACCCGUGGCAGAACACGCGGGGGGCCGCGGGGGGCGCCCGGCCCUUCGCGUCCCCGGGGCCGUGGAGGGAUGCGCAUGCGCCCGACGCGGCUCGCCAACCAACCCCGGCGCGAGGAGCGCCAAGGAACUAGAGUACGAAGAGCGCGUCCCCGACGCCUCGGGCGCUCGGGGUGCGUCUUCAUUUCGUGAAAAGCUAA